RNAcentral lists this non-coding RNA (79 nucleotides) under uncultured Abyssibacter sp. Its description in RNAcentral is "Glycine riboswitch". It matches the Rfam family "Glycine riboswitch aptamer", at positions 7 to 88 of the family's 94-position model. Rfam says of the family: This family represents the bacterial glycine riboswitch. Glycine riboswitches usually consist of two metabolite-binding aptamers domains with similar structures in tandem. The record is from RNAcentral. Lineage: Bacteria; Pseudomonadati; Pseudomonadota; Gammaproteobacteria; Chromatiales; Oceanococcaceae.
CCUGCGGGAGAGCGUCACCCUCGUGUGACCGCCGACGACGCAACCCGCCCGGAAACGCUCAGGCCAAAGGACCGCGGGG